Molecule: small nuclear RNA, 358 nt
Filed under: Heterocephalus glaber (naked mole-rat)
Lineage: Eukaryota; Metazoa; Chordata; Mammalia; Rodentia; Bathyergidae
Description: 7SK RNA
Rfam family: 7SK RNA
About the family: 7SK was discovered as an abundant small nuclear RNA in the mid-70s but a possible function has only recently been suggested.
Source: Rfam by way of RNAcentral
GGAUAUGAGGAUGAUCUGGCUGUGACAUCUGUCACCCCAUUGAUCAUUAGGGUUGAUUCAGUCUAUCUGCUGGGCUAGGUGGGUGUCCCCUUCAUCCCUCACUGCUCCAUGGGCUUCCCUCCUGAAGCUCAGUCAAAGGGGAUGAUAGAAGAGGACUGUUACCCCUGACACCUUAGGAGGACUGUUUCCUCUGACAAGGGUAGAUGAGUAGCUGCACUCCCCUGCUAGAACCUCCAAACAAGCUCUCAAGGAAUGAAAGAAAAUAUCCUUAAUUAGACAAAGGGGAUUUUAUUAUAACCAACAGGAAUCACUAUUAUAACUUUCCAGGAAACACUCAAAUGGAGUACUGAAUGUCUUU